UACGUAGGGUGCAAGCGUUAAUCGGAAUUACUGGGCGUAAAGCGUGCGCAGGCGGUUUUGCAAGUCCGGUGUGAAAUCCCCGGGCUUAACCUGGGAACCGCAUUUGUGACUGCAUAGCUGGAGUACGGCAGAGGGGGAUGGAAUUCCGCGUGUAGCAGUGAAAUGCGUAGAUAUGCGGAGGAACACCGAUGGCGAAGGCAGUCCCCUGGGCCUGUACUGACGCUCAUGCACGAAAGCGUGGGGAGCAAACAGG
RNAcentral lists this ribosomal RNA (253 nucleotides) under uncultured bacterium. RNAcentral's name for it is "partial 16S ribosomal RNA". It matches the Rfam family "Bacterial small subunit ribosomal RNA", at positions 524 to 776 of the family's 1533-position model. The record is from RNAcentral.